RNAcentral lists this ribosomal RNA (400 nucleotides) under uncultured bacterium. RNAcentral describes it as "partial 16S ribosomal RNA". It matches the Rfam family "Bacterial small subunit ribosomal RNA", at positions 360 to 776 of the family's 1533-position model. The record is from RNAcentral.
AAUAUUGCGCAAUGGGGGAAACCCUGACGCAGCAACGCCGCGUGAAGGAUGAAGGUUUUCGGAUCGUAAACUUCUUUGAUUGGGGACGAAUAAUGACGGUACCCAAAAAACAAGCCACGGCUAACUACGUGCCAGCAGCCGCGGUAAUACGUAGGUGGCGAGCGUUGUCCGGAAUUACUGGGUGUAAAGGGCGUGUAGGCGGGGGAACAAGUCAGAUGUGAAAUCCCAGGGCUUAACUCUGGAGCUGCAUCUGAAACUGUUUCUCUUGAGUACUGGAGAGGAAAGUGGAAUUCCAAGUGUAGCGGUGAAAUGCGUAGAGAUUUGGAGGAACACCAGUGGCGAAGGCGGCUUUCUAGACAGUAACUGACGCUGAGGCGCGAAAGCGUGGGGAGCAAACAGG